RNAcentral lists this ribosomal RNA (459 nucleotides) under uncultured bacterium. Its description in RNAcentral is "partial 16S ribosomal RNA". It matches the Rfam family "Bacterial small subunit ribosomal RNA", at positions 338 to 795 of the family's 1533-position model. The record is from RNAcentral.
CCUACGGGUGGCAGCAGUGAGGAAUAUUGGUCAAUGGGCUUACGCCUGAACCAGCCAAGUCGCGUGAGGGAAGACGGUCCUAUGGAUUGUAAACCUCUUUUGUCGGGGAGCAAAAGACGCCACGCGUGGCGUUCCGAGAGUACCCGAAGAAAAAGCAUCGGCUAACUCCGUGCCCGCGGCCGCGGUAAUACGGGGGAUGCGAGCGUUAUCCGGAUUUAUUGGGUUUAAAGGGUGCGCAGGCGGAAGAUCAAGUCAGCGGUAAACUUGAGGGGCUCAACCUCGUCGAGCCGUUGAAACUGGUUUUCUUGAGUGGGCGAGAAGCAGGCGGAAUGCGGGGUGUAGCGGUGAAAUGCAUAGAUAUCACGCAGAACUCCGAUUGCGAAGGCAGCAUACCGGCGCUCAACUGACGCUGAUGCACGAAAGUGUGGGUAUCGAACAGGAUUAGAUACCCGGGUAGUC